CAGCGGAAACUUUUGAAGUUAGUGUGUGUUCUAUGUGAAAAUACAGCUUCAAGUCAAAUUCAUCAUUGCAUCUCCUCUCCACUCAGGAAUUUCAAACUUAACGAAAAGUAAGUCAUUCUGAGCCAUAAUGCAUCUCUACUUUUGACAUUUUCUUGAAUCCCAGCUCCUCCUUUCCUCUUCUCUGUCUGUUCCCUCUUUCUUUGUUUUUGGAGUUCAAAAUUGCAAAUUUUGGGAUGUAGUUAUUCCCUUAUCACGUCUUCUACUCAGAACCCAUAAAAGAUUGAAAGAAGUUUCGGUACGCUGUUACUAAAAACUUAGGAUAUACAUUUUGGUGGCAAAAGAUGAAAACAGAAGUGCGGAUGAGGCUCCUCUUACGGGAGAAGUCACUUAACAUGACGUCACACAAACUUGUUUCUAAGAUCAGUGAAGAGCGGCAUGGAAGCUGCAGGGAAAUGAAUCGAAACGAGGAAAAGGGAAAUGUAGAAACAAGUUUUUAAAGAAGAAGUGUCAAGAAAGUAGAGCUUGUAAGCAACACGCAAAACAAAGGGUGACUGUUGACCAUGUGAUAUCCAUGUCAGUGGGGACUAAUCCUAUCGGCCGAUCUACGUGGAAUUAUUGGUAUGUCAUUUUUUCUUCACAACUACAUAUUUAAACUCAUACGUGCCCAAAGAUAAAGACUCACUAGUUAAUGGGUACGACAAUCGAUAGCAGAG
Molecule: long non-coding RNA, 713 nt
Organism: Salvia miltiorrhiza (redroot sage)
Lineage: Eukaryota; Viridiplantae; Streptophyta; Magnoliopsida; Lamiales; Lamiaceae
Exons: 4
Source: RefSeq, a predicted model, not a curated record